This 72-nucleotide transfer RNA is filed under the name Phytophthora infestans (potato late blight agent). Its description in RNAcentral is "tRNA-Gln". It matches the Rfam family "tRNA". From Rfam's summary of the family: Transfer RNA (tRNA) molecules are approximately 80 nucleotides in length. Their secondary structure includes four short double-helical elements and three loops (D, anti-codon, and T loops). The record is from RNAcentral. Lineage: Eukaryota; Oomycota; Peronosporomycetes; Peronosporales; Peronosporaceae.
GCUUUUAUGGUGUAAUGGUUAGCACUCUGGACUUUGAAUCCAGCGAUCCGGGUUCAAAUCCCGGUAGGAGUU